AACGAACGCUGGCGGCAUGCCUAACACAUGCAAGUCGAACGAACCCUUCGGGGUUAGUGGCGCACGGGUGCGUAACGCGUGGGGAUCUGCCCAAAGGUUCGGAAUAACUCAGAGAAAUUUGAGCUAAUACCGGAUAAUGUCUUCGGACCAAAGAUUUAUUGCCUUUGGAUGAACCCGCGUAGGAUUAGCUUGUUGGUGGGGUAAAGGCUUACCAAGGCGACGAUCCUUAGCUGGUCUGAGAGGAUGAUCAGCCACACUGGGACUGAGACACGGCCCAGACUCCUACGGGAGGCAGCAGUGGGGAAUAUUGGACAAUGGGCGAAAGCCUGAUCCAGCAAUGCCGCGUGAGUGAUGAAGGCCUUAGGGUUGUAAAGCUCUUUUACCAGGGAUGAUAAUGACAGUACCUGGAGAAUAAAGCUCCGGCUAACUCCGUG
Molecule: ribosomal RNA, 434 nt
Filed under: uncultured bacterium
Lineage: Bacteria
Description: bacterial SSU rRNA
Rfam family: Bacterial small subunit ribosomal RNA
Source: RNAcentral